Molecule: ribosomal RNA, 255 nt
Filed under: uncultured bacterium
Lineage: Bacteria
Description: partial 16S ribosomal RNA
Rfam family: Bacterial small subunit ribosomal RNA
Source: RNAcentral
CGGAGGAUGCAAGCGUUAUCCGGAAUGAUUGGGCGUAAAGCGUCUGUAGGUGGUUUAUUAAGUCUGCUGUUAAAGCACAGGGCUCAACCCUGUAUAGGCGGUAGAAACUGGUAGACUUGAGUAUGGUAGGGGUAGAGGGAAUUCCCGAUGUAGUGGUGAAAUGCGUUGAUAUCGGGAAGAACACCAAAGGCGAAAGCACUCUGCUGGGCCAAUACUGACACUGAGAGACGAAAGCUAGGGGGAGCAAAUGGGAUU